This 474-nucleotide long non-coding RNA is filed under the name Gallus gallus (chicken). RNAcentral describes it as "long non-coding RNA NONGGAT001349". Lineage: Eukaryota; Metazoa; Chordata; Aves; Galliformes; Phasianidae. The record is from RNAcentral.
AUGUCGUGUCUGCCAAAGUCUACACGUUACCUUCAAGCACGUUUUUUUCAGCCCAUAGGUGUCCAACCUUUUGGUUUUCCUGUGCUGCAUUGAGUGAAGAGGAACCUCGGGUUUGAGUCCACCACCUGUGAUGCAGCCAGAGUGCCGCCAGAAGUCAGUCACUAAAAUAACAUCGUGCAAAACGCCACCGGCUCCUCCAGGUGAGCUGAGCACUUUUGGCCAAGAUGUGGGUGACGGCAACCAGGGCAGGAUAAACCCUUAGAGGUGGCACUCGUCACCAAAGGUGGGGACUGAAGGCUUAGAGGAGCUCAAGGCUGUGUAGAAAUCUGGGAAGGUGAAUCAGGGUGAAGGUCUGGGGCAUCUGCUGGGACUGAGGAAGGAUGGGAGCCGGGCCGCCCCACAGGAGCCCAGGCCAGGCCUCCCGUCACGGCGGGGCUGUGGAUCGCCACGGCAGCGAGCCACCGGGAGUUCCCG